This 392-nucleotide ribosomal RNA is filed under the name uncultured bacterium. Its description in RNAcentral is "partial 16S ribosomal RNA". It matches the Rfam family "Bacterial small subunit ribosomal RNA", at positions 523 to 918 of the family's 1533-position model. The record is from RNAcentral.
AUACGGAGGAUCCGAGCGUUAUCCGGAUUUAUUGGGUUUAAAGGGUGCGCAGGCGGCCAUUUAAGUCAGCGGUUAAAUCGUGGGGCUCAACCCCAUUCUGCCGUUGAUACUGGGUGGCUUGAUUGCGGUCGAGGUGGGCGGACUUCGUUGUGUAGCGGUGAAAUGCAUAGAUAUGACGAAGAACACCGAUUGCGUAGGCAGCUGACCAGACCGCAAAUGACGCUCAUGCACGAAAGUGCGGGGAUCGAACAGGAUUAGAUACCCUGGUAGUCCGCACAGUAAACGAUGAAUACUUGUUUUCGGCGAUAUAAUGUCGGAGGCAAAGCGAAAGCGAUAAGUAUUCCACCUGGGGAGUACGCCGGCAACGGUGAAACUCAAAUGAAUUGACGGGG